RNAcentral lists this ribosomal RNA (253 nucleotides) under uncultured bacterium. RNAcentral's name for it is "partial 16S ribosomal RNA". It matches the Rfam family "Bacterial small subunit ribosomal RNA", at positions 524 to 776 of the family's 1533-position model. The record is from RNAcentral.
UACGGGGGGGGCAAGCGUUGUUCGGAAUUACUGGGCGUAAAGGGCUCGUAGGCGGCCAACUAAGUCGGAUGUGAAAUCCCCAGGCUUAACCUGGGAACUGCAUCCGAUACUGGAUGGCUUGAAUCCGGGAGAGGGAUGCAGAAUUCCAGGUGUAGCGGUGAAAUGCGUAGAUAUCUGGAGGAAUACCGGUGGCGAAGGCGGUUCUCUGGGCCUUACCUGACGCUGAGGAGCGAAAGCGUGGGGAGCGAACAGG